CCAAUCUCCCUUGGUUAGGUCGGAGCCAGUGGGUUGUGGACAGAGGUGACACAGGCCACCUCCAGACCUUGCCUCAGAGCCUCUGAUGGGACUGUUGGCAUUCUCUACUCCUCUUCUACAGUGACGGAGGUGACCACUAGUGUAAGAUGGAGGAGCCCGAGGAUGUGGGGAGCCUGGAUCCCGGAGCCACCGCUAGGAGGACAGCUGCCGGGAAGAGCUGCUGGGCCACGUGUGCUGAGGGUUGCAGGAAGUAGCUCGAGGCGUUGCCGAUGGAGCAGCCGUGACUUUGCUGCCGGCUUGUCCUGCUCCCUUGCAGACGUGGGGCUGCGGUGGCGCGUUUGAGGUCCGCCCCUGCCGCUGGAGUCAGAGCUGCGCCCUCUCUCUUACUGAGUGCUGGUCCACGUAUGACGGACGGGUGACGGAGUGUUUAUCCAGCUUCCUGCUGAGGGACACCUGGUUGUCCCCAGUUUUUGGCGAAUGUGAGGGAAGCUGCUAGGAACGUCCCGGAGGACAUGGUGCUUGGGCCCUACAACGCCCGGAGGAGCUGCCGGGAUGCCGAGCGCCUUGCAAGGGAACCGGAGCCAGAGUGAUGGGCGUCCUGGGGGCUCCUGGUGUGGAAAGGGCCUCUGUCGGCCGCCUGCUGGCAGCUGCUUUGUCUCCCUCCACUGGUUCUCUGCUCUGACUCCAUUUCUAAGGCUUUUCUUAAAUCAGCCCCUGGCAGGUGAGAUGGCUUGGAGUUUUAUGAGAUUUUACACUCCCCAGAGGUGAAUAAUAGGGACUUUUCAUCACUGAGUUUCCUGACAACACCUUCCAUUGAACCAUCAAUUUCCGAACAACACCUGGGAUAUGCAAACUCUGUUUUCAAGCACGUCCUGGGGCUGGGAUACGUGACAAGAGGUGGAGGGCGAGUUUCCUGAGAAAAAAAUCAGCCGUGCGUUUUGGGUACAUAAAAGACAGGUUGAGGUUUCUUUUCAUGGGAAGGAGGUGGGGGGACUGAGGGGGGAGAUAUUGAAACCCACCAGCCGUGAAAGAGUGGAGAGAGGAGAGAGCAGGAGAUGAAGAGGAGAAAGUGAAGUGAGAGGGAGAACGAGCGAGAGAGCGAGCGGGAGACGGAGACGACCGGCUAAUCAAAGAGGCAGGUACAGGAGGUGAAAUGCUUUCACAGGAGGCGCAGGAGGGUCUGUCUCAAUGGAGGAUGGCAAGUGGUUGUGGAUGCUGUGUGAGUCUCCGACAACAUGCGUCACACUGCUGCACACAAACCGUUCACGUCUGUGCUCACUGGACGUCGGUUCCGGGCCCAAGUUGGGGCCUCUUGCCACCCCCUCUACCUGGCCCCAUCUGCCUACCAGGUGGGGACCCCUCCCCCGUUAGGCGAGGCUUUGUCACGAGCGGCCAGUUCCAGCAGGGGCGGCCACCCCUCCUCCCCUCACCCCUGCCCAGGUGGCUGCUGAGUCCAGGCAGCAAGCGCUUAAUUGAGAGACAUACGAACUGGAGGAUGUCAGGAGGGUGGGAAAGCAAGAUGCCCAGGGCCUGGGCCCCAGGAAGUAAAGGAAGCAGAGAGAAGAGCGGGAUGAGAGAACCAAGUCUGGGCGCCCUUCCUGCCCCUGGGGUCCUCCUCGCUCUCGGGAGGCCCCUCCAGCUUCCGUGGCUGGGCCGGGCUGUUGGUGGACCCAGCAGCAGAAGGAGGGCAGUAAGUCGUAGCCGAGGGAUGGGGCAGCCAGAACGGGUGAGGCUGCAGUGAGCAGAGACCUGGCCGUAGCCAGGAAGGAGUCCAGGGUCUGCAGGGGAUGAGUUGCGAAGCUCAGCCCUGGGCUGCGUGUGGGAGGAGCUGGCGUCCAGGUCCUGGUGAUGCUGAGCUGGGCGGGGCCCCCCUUGCACCUGGAUUUGAUAUGAGUUACAGAGGAUGCCUGGUUCCCUUAUCUACCAACGUGUGCCGUUCAUGCUGUGGGCACGCAUGUGGCUUGCGUCAGCUCUAUUUCUGGCCAUUUCAGUUCUAGUUUUCUCCUACACACAUUGGUGCAAACUGGGGAACAGAAAGACGUUUUCUGCUCUCUAACUCACGUUCCCUACAAAAUGGUGUUUCCUGGGAGUAGCUUCUUGUGGGCGCGUUCUCCAGCAGAGACGGGCUGGCUUAUAAAGUGAGACUCCAGGGACACUGGCUGUGUGGCAAAGAACUUAACCUUGUCUAGGGAGAGGUCUGGCCUUUGCCUUCAGCCCUGGAAGGUAAUCUCCAAACCCUUGGAAGGUCCUGGUCUCUGUUUGCCUGGGGGCUCUGGGUCACACUGACAAAGUGAUUUAAGGUGGGGCUCAGGGUCACGUGGUAUCAACUCAACCUCUAGAGGAGCUGGAGACCGAGGUCAGCCUCCUGGGCACCAAACGGGCCUCCUUGGUGAACCCCAAUAAAGGCUCUGGACACCAAGACUCGGGGACCUUCCUGCCUGGCAAUGCUCCGUGGGUGUCGUCACACAUGGAUGCCAGGGAUGCGAUGCUGUCCUGACUCCAUGGAGGGAGCAAAACAGAAUCCCUGCAUGUUGUAUUUUCCUGGGCUCUUCGGUUGACUUUACUCCACGUCUUUUCACUGUAAUAAACCAUAACUGUGAACAUAGCAGAUUUCCUGAGCUCUGUGAGUCCUGCUAGCAAAUUGCCAAACCUGGGGGUGGUUUUGGGGACUCUCGAACCUGCACCUGGUGUCAGAAGCGAGGGUGGCCUGUGCAUGGUUUCCUGACUUCACACGGGCACCGUAGGGUGUUCCCUCGGUCUCUGCACCCCCUCACUACUCCUGGCCAACAGUAGCUCUCCAGCUCAUCUCCCUGUUUCCUCUCACCCAGUUUGUUCUCUCGCUGCAGCCAGCGUGAGCUUUUAAAACCGCU
RNAcentral lists this long non-coding RNA (2870 nucleotides) under Equus caballus (horse). Its description in RNAcentral is "lncRNA (ENSECAG00000048618.1)". The record is from RNAcentral. Lineage: Eukaryota; Metazoa; Chordata; Mammalia; Perissodactyla; Equidae.